UGUAUUUGCACCUGAUCUCAGACGUGAUACGCGCAGAUCUUAAGCAUAUCUUUAGCAGAGGAAAAGACACUAUCUAAGACUCUUUAUACGGGCAGAGUAAAAAA
RNAcentral lists this ribosomal RNA (104 nucleotides) under Heterorhabditis sp. EPNKU50. RNAcentral's name for it is "partial 28S ribosomal RNA". The record is from RNAcentral. Lineage: Eukaryota; Metazoa; Nematoda; Chromadorea; Rhabditida; Heterorhabditidae.